AAAAAAAAAAAAAAGAAAGAACAACUCUAAAUCCAGUAGUCACCGUGGUAACAUCAACACCCUAGAAUAAAAACGCGAGUAGACUUCUUAAACUGGCACGGUCCAGCCUAAUUUGUCAAAAACUCUGAUAAAAAAGGCCUUCCAUGACCCACUCUAUAUCAGCCCCAUCGUGGCUUUGCGACCCCACUGUACUUUCCUCCCUCUCCUCCCCCUGCUUUCAGCUUCUUUUUAAUUUCAUUUUAGUCAUUAAUUCGAAACUGCUCACAUUCUAUUGACCCAAGUCUAGUGAAGGUUGUAAUCAGAACGUUUACCAUCUUUCUUAGUGUUACUUUAAAUUCACUGGAGGCACUCCUGUCGGCGUUAUCAAUGUCAGCUACUCCAUCUUUUACUGCAACAGAACCCACUGUAGCACCAUCCAUAUAUGCUCUACAUGCUACCAGAAUAUCACAUGCACGCAUGUGAAAAUGACCAAUGACAUAAUCUUCAAAAUACUUGGGCGGCCUUCGAAGUGUGUACAUCAUUGUCUUCAAAGAUAAGAUAAACACAUCCUCAUUGUACUUCCUGGAUCUUCUAUCCCCCUCCACACCAACAUAAGAUGAUUCAUAUCCAGGCUCAUUAAAGAAGGGCUUUGCAUUAAGAAUGAGAGCUUGAAUAGAAACCAAAACUUGAAGCAUGGUUGACGUCCCUGGGAUCCACAUCUCAUUCUGUUUCCCACUCCAUGUUCCCAAAAGGCUGAGGCAGACUUUCCCACAUUCAUACAAAUUCGGAUUCAAUCGAAGCCCACCUGAAUAGUAGUAGACCAUCGGAGGUGUAUCAGGAUAGUUAGGGGGGAAGAGACAGUCAAAGACAAAAAGGCCAUCAUGAUAAGGAGUACCAGCAGGUCCUAUAAUGACAGCCCUCAAAAGUUCCAUCCUUGCUUCAUAAACUCUAACAGAUAUUGUAUCUGGUAAGUCCUUCUCCAAAAUUUUCCAUUCCUCUUGAAUUCUCUUUGCCCAACUCUUGGGCUGCUGCUGCCCUGAGAAGCCCAUACGGCUAUAGUGAUGAUCUGAGAAAUCUUCCACAGUAUCAAAUUGUUUAAAGUUCUUAAAUUUUCGAAUGAUACCAUUUUCUUCAUUGUCUAUGACUUCCCCAUUAGAACUCGAUUCUGCAGUAACUGCAGAACUACUUGUAGCUUCUGCUGGACUUCUAUUUCCAGAACAACUGGAAGUAAUUACUGUCCUUUUUGUUUCAGCAAUACCUGAUACAGCAUCCUUCCCCUUGCUUUCAAAAAGAUCUGCAAUAGUUGAAUUGCUUGUACCUGAUGUGACAAUUCCAGAAGGAGCAGGAUCCUUCAGCCAAGGAAGUGAUGCCUCUAUUCCAGGUGGAAGAUCCACAUUAUCAAAUUGAGAUUGGAUAGCCAAAUAAUCAUCUUCAUACAAGUAGUCAUCAUUGGCAUCAUAAUCAGAAUUAUCAUCAACAUAAUCACCACCAUCAUCACAAAUUUCAUCAUCAUGAUAUGAUAAGUCAGAAUUGGAACUGUUGAUAUUGUUUAUAUUAAUUGAUCCAGAAUUGGAACUCUUUAGAUGAUCAACACUAUCAACAGAUCCUGCUAAGCUAGUAGAAAUCCCAGGAUUACAAGAUGAAGCAUCCUUAAUGUGAUGUGGCCAUGUAUCAUCAUAACCUACUUUUGAUUUUCCCUUGGAACAUGCAUCAGCUUUUUCAUGACCAAUCAAAACUUCAGAGGGCUCUAGAUCACUUUCAACAUCCAUUACAUCACAUAGAACCUAAACAAGAAGAUUGCAUCCUUAACUUGGGAAAUCACAUAUGCUAACAGAAAACCCUUGUAAACCAUUUCAAUAUAGAAGUGGUAAUAUAUCAAAAUGCAAUCUAUGGACACCCAAUUGUGGGAACAUGUUAAUGAGAGUGAGAAAGAGUUCCAGUACCAUAAUAAAGAGUCCAAUUAACACAACCAGGUAAGAUACGUGGAACUAUGAUUUGUCAACCAGUUUUUACACAACAGAAUCAAACCUCCAUUUUGUAUGUCAAAAACAAAAUCUUUCUAUUCAAUUGUGACGUUUGGAAAGUUAACAAAACAAUAGGCUUUCAGGGGAGAAAGAAAAGGCUGAUUUUCAUAAAUAGCUAAAAAUUGAAGCUACUGUUGGAGUAUUAUUAAAAUUCCCAGGUAAUCGCAUUCAAAUACACAGGUGAAAGCUAAUACUUGAAUUCCAUGUAUCAUUCUAACAAAGGAUUGCAUGAGUGGAAGUUUAUGGAGCUGGAUAAAAAUACAAGAAUUUAAUGAGUCAUAAUAAGCUUGGAAAAUAGCAACAUGUCUGCCACAACUUUCAUAAUGUAAGGAAAAAAUUCGGGCAAGUUGUACAGUUCCAAGUAAUCAAUGCUACUUCCAAAUUCUAGCCCAACCAUAACUGUGCAUUCAAAUUGAUAUAGUAUCAUUUCCUAUAUUUUGCCAAAAAUCUAUCCUCAAUGCCAAUUUGUUUUCCUAAAUUAGUUCAUCCAAUUUUGAAGUGUAAGUAAUAAGAAUUAGCUAUUACCCGUAUAAAUCCAAAACUUUCAGAUAAACAUCACCCAGAGAAUCGUCUAGCACACAACAAACAUAAUAUAUAUAAUGACACAAAUUGAACAGUUACCAAUUGAACAAAGUGGAUUUUCAAUUUUGUCAGAAAUGAUACUAACAAGGACAGAAAAGAAUAGCAAACAAACAGCCAAAUUUGUAACAUAAAAUCCAUUUGGCAACAGAGAAACCCGAUGAGAAAAGCAAACCAGAACAAAACAAGCACCUUCUUUCCACCUACUAAUUUUCUAACUUAUGCACAAGUCCUGGGUCUGAAUUCACCUUUUCCACUUAACCAAACAACAGUAACUCAACUUUCUUGCAACCAAUUCUCUCGCAAAAAAAUUUCAUCUACGAUCAAGACUCAGAGGUCAAAUCACGAUCAAUCAAAAUUCGGCGCUUAUAAUCCAUCAAAAAUCAAAAACUAAGACGAAAUUACACCAAUUUCGCAAGAAAAAAAAAAUCCAAUUCAAUUUAAAACUUCAACCCUAAACUUGCCAUAAUUAGAAUUAUGAUCAAAAAACGAAAAAAUCUACCUCGUCGUGCUUGAGUUUCUUGGAGAUCGAGACUUGAUCAUCCAUGUCGACAUCCAUGAAAGCAAUCCAAUUCGAUUUUCACACUACUGAAAGCCACUCAGAAAUUUACAUUGUACGAUCUAUUACUGUUGAAUUUUGCUGCAAAUUCAUGCAAAUAACGAACCAGAAAAAUAAGCCAAAAAGCAUAAAAUAAAAGCGAUCGAUACCUGAUAACUGAAAAGUCACCAAUUUUUACUUUUGUGAGC
This 3329-nucleotide unclassified non-coding RNA is filed under the name Hevea brasiliensis (rubber tree). The record is from RNAcentral. Lineage: Eukaryota; Viridiplantae; Streptophyta; Magnoliopsida; Malpighiales; Euphorbiaceae.